CGGCGAGUGAAGCGGCAACAGCUCAAAUUUGAAAUCUGGCCUUCUGGUCCGAAUUGUAAUUUGUAGAGGAUGACUUUGGUUAGGUACCUUUCGAGUUCCUUGGAACAGGACGCCUUAGAGGGUGAGAGCCCCGUACGAUUGGAUGCCGAGCCUCUGUAAGUCUCCUUCGACGAGUCGAGUAGUUUGGGAAUGCUGCUCUAAAUGGGAGGUAAAUUUCUUCUAAAGCUAAAUACCGGCCAGAGACCGAUAGCGCACAAGUAGAGUGAUCGAAAGAUGAAAAGCACUUUGAAAAGAGGGUUAAAUAGUACGUGAAAUUGUUGAAAGGGAAGGGCUUAUGACCAGACCUUUGCAUUGAGGAUCAUCCGGUGUUCUCACCGGUGCACUUCUCUUUGUUGAGGCCAGCAUCAGUUCUAGUUGGGGGAUAAAGACUUUAGGAAUGUGAUUCCUCCGGGAAUGUUAUAGCCUUUUGUGUAAUACCCUGACCGGGACUGAGGACCGCGCUUCGGCUAGGAUGCUGGCAUAAUGGUCAUCAGCCACCCGUCUUGAAACACGGACCAAGGAGUCGAACAUUUAUG
RNAcentral lists this ribosomal RNA (575 nucleotides) under Microdochium sp. RNAcentral describes it as "partial large subunit ribosomal RNA". It matches the Rfam family "Eukaryotic large subunit ribosomal RNA", at positions 87 to 686 of the family's 3401-position model. Lineage: Eukaryota; Fungi; Ascomycota; Sordariomycetes; Xylariales; Microdochiaceae. The record is from RNAcentral.